Molecule: ribosomal RNA, 506 nt
Filed under: uncultured bacterium
Lineage: Bacteria
Description: partial 16S ribosomal RNA
Rfam family: Bacterial small subunit ribosomal RNA
Source: RNAcentral
AUUGAACGCUGGCGGCAGGCCUAACACAUGCAAGUCGAACGGCAGCGGGGGGUAGCUUGCUACCCCGCCGGCGAGUGGCGGACGGGUGAGUAAUGCCUGGGGAGCUGCCCAAUCGAGGGGGAUACCAGUUGGAAACGACUGCUAAUACCGCAUACGCCCUGAGGGGGAAAGGUGGGGAUCUUCGGACCUACCGCGAUUGGAUGCACCCAGGUGGGAUUAGCUAGUUGGUGAGGUAACGGCUCACCAAGGCGACGAUCUCUAGCUGGUCUGAGAGGAUGACCAGCCACACUGGAACUGAGACACGGUCCAGACUCCUACGGGAGGCAGCAGUGGGGAAUAUUGCACAAUGGGGGAAACCCUGAUGCAGCCAUGCCGCGUGUGUGAAGAAGGCCUUAGGGUUGUAAAGCACUUUCAGCGAGGAGGAAAGGUGGCUAGCUAAUACCUAGUUGCUGUGACGUUACUCGCAGAAGAAGCACCGGCUAACUCCGUGCCAGCAGCCGCCGUAA